Molecule: small nucleolar RNA, 268 nt
Filed under: Henningerozyma blattae CBS 6284
Lineage: Eukaryota; Fungi; Ascomycota; Saccharomycetes; Saccharomycetales; Saccharomycetaceae
Description: Tetrapisispora blattae CBS 6284 Small nucleolar RNA snR31
Rfam family: Small nucleolar RNA snR31
Source: Rfam by way of RNAcentral
GAAACCAACUUUUCCCACUCUUUCUUGUUGGCGUCACCUUACAGCUUUUAUUCUGUUGGGUUAGAUGCCUGACAAGUAGGACACUAAUCUUUGAUUGGUGUCUGAUUGUUAUGGAGAUGUGGCAGAAUAAUUGGUUAAUUCCAAUAGGAAGAUGUAUCUCCAGCUGUUGAUAUUCGUGAUGGUACUGUUGGGAAGCCUUUCUCUUUUUGAUAGUCUAUUACACCUUUUUUUUAACCUGAUACAGUUGGUCAUAAUUCUUGCUACAUCA